GCGGGAGUAGCUCAGUUGGCAGAGCAUCAGCUUCCCAUGCUGAAGGUCGCGGGUUCGAUCCCCGUCUCCCGCU
RNAcentral lists this transfer RNA (73 nucleotides) under Salinibacter sp. 10B. RNAcentral's name for it is "tRNA-Gly". It matches the Rfam family "tRNA". Rfam says of the family: Transfer RNA (tRNA) molecules are approximately 80 nucleotides in length. Their secondary structure includes four short double-helical elements and three loops (D, anti-codon, and T loops). Lineage: Bacteria; Pseudomonadati; Rhodothermota; Rhodothermia; Rhodothermales; Salinibacteraceae. RNAcentral also lists the same sequence under 2 other names. The record is from RNAcentral.